CUUGUUGCAUGUGUCAGUGUUGUGAAAACAAAUCAUUGUACAAGAGUUUAUGGAGAAAAUGACAGAACAAUAUGUCAGUGUAUCUCUCAGUCUUUAUGUAUGGUCAGUUUCAUUCACUGACACGGUCACCCUGAAAAAAGAAAGAGUUAAGAAAGGAAUGAAGGAAGGACAGAAAGAGAGUGAGAGUAUGAAUCUGCAGCUGCAGGAAGGGGACGUACAGAUAAGAAGCUUCAAUGAUCCUGACCUUGAGACAAUAUCACACUGAUAUGUAAUGAUGACACACACUCAGACCUUGUUAUUAGACUCACAUUCAUGUGAACUGUUGCUCUGUUACAGGACAUGGCCUGCGUUAUGAGGUUGUGACCAGCAGGUGUCAGUCUGUCCUUCACGGCCGUCCUCUCUGCUGCUGUGCCCAAUAAACACCCUGAUUCACCACACAAUCACUGCUGUCAGUAGGACGUGUCAUGCAGCAGUUGAAGUGAGGCAGAUUCUUCUCAGAGUCAGUGUCAAAAAGUCGUCUUUUCCCGUCUGUCCAUGAUGCUGUGCUGCACUGCCUGUGUCGGGCUGACAGAGAUCUGUCCAGCUCUCAGUUUACACUGGAAAUGUCCUGCGCUGCGAGGUUGUGAGCAGCAGGUGUCAGUCUGUCCU
This is a long non-coding RNA of Labeo rohita (rohu), 648 nucleotides long. RefSeq lists it as uncharacterized. The transcript is spliced from 3 exons. Lineage: Eukaryota; Metazoa; Chordata; Actinopteri; Cypriniformes; Cyprinidae. The record is from RefSeq and is a predicted model, not a curated record.